GAAAACUCUAGAACAAAAAAGAAAACACAUUAAAAAUUUUUAUAUCCCAGUCAUUUGAAAAUGACCUGUCCCCAACCUUCCAUUUUCCUACUUGACGAUUCAGAUUCAUUGGAGAUAGGGCCUGAGGGUAGAUGAAAACGUUUCUGAUGAAGGGCCUCUCUACACCCUCCUUCUCUUCGAUCCUGCACUUCAUUUCAGUUUGGCUCUCUUGGUCUUUCCAGUUCCGAUUGGUAUUUGGCAUAACCAGGAACCUCACCAAAUUAUGCCAUGCAUUUGUUGGUAAUUGUUUUGGAGUCCCCUUCGACAAUAAUGUCUGUCAAGCCCAUGUCUUUCCCGUAAGAACAGCUUCAUAGCAGGCAAUAGUUUCCGCUUCAAAGGCCGUAGCCACCAUGAAAUGGAGGUACCUUCCAUUUGACAUUUUGCUGGGCAGCACUGACUUUUCUCUCAUUUAGUCCAUCGAUUUCGCCGAGGUAAUGCCUUACAUAUCUAGCUGCCUCUUUCUCUGUAUAAGACUUUCCUUUGUGUAAGUUCUUAUUUCUGUCCAACCAUAGCACCCAAAUACCACAGAUCACCAUUCGACGUUGUACUUCAGUACAUUUACUGAAAAUCCAAAUACUCCACAAAGACAUGCCAUAGAUUUUCAGCUCCAGCUCUACAUAUUGGACAUAUAGCAUUUGGGGCCAUUCUUCUUUGGUACAGAUUAGCCAUCGUAGAAAUGAAACUCCACGACAUUUUUCAUGCCAAUAUCUUUAUUCUGUUUGGAAGUUGGAGUUCUCACAGUUGUUUGUAAAAUGGUUGGGUUGUAAUUUGUGUAUCAGUAGGACUAGUAGUAGAGAUUUGGCUCUGUAGUAUUUUGUAAGCACUACGCACUGUAAAUUCUCCCGAGUGCUCCCCACGCCAGAAGAUCAAAUUCGGAUGUGCUUCUCUCACCAGUGGAAUUCGUAGGAUUCUAUCUGCAUCAUUAGUUUCGAAGGUAGUACGUAUCAAUUCUGUAACACCCCAAACCCGGCCUAGACGUUAUGACCGAAUCUGAUGCGCCACAUCGAAGCGUUCAAAACAUUCCGUAUUACUUAGUUGGAAAACUUAGUUGGUGUUGUAAAAGACACUUUUAAAAGUAGGUUAAAGUGAAUGGAAGCUAAGCACCAGGUAGGAAACCAGGAAGAAGAGGAGGUGAGUCCGUCGGAUUGCUUAAGUACCAAGCUCCCUUCGGAUCCAAUCCUAGACAUGCACAUCGCCAUUGCCACACUCUAACAUCUCGUAUAAUUUUGUGAAAACCGUUUGGUUAUGUCCAUCUUAAGAAAAUGAUUAAGGUUGAAAACGUUUGCUUGGCGGAAGUCUUACUUGUAUUCGUGUUAUUUUGAAAUCACUUAAUGUUUUUGAAAA
Gossypium arboreum is the source of this 1383-nucleotide long non-coding RNA. RefSeq lists it as uncharacterized. The record is from RefSeq and is a predicted model, not a curated record. The transcript is spliced from 4 exons. Lineage: Eukaryota; Viridiplantae; Streptophyta; Magnoliopsida; Malvales; Malvaceae.